This 779-nucleotide ribosomal RNA is filed under the name Halobacterium sp. RNAcentral's name for it is "bacterial SSU rRNA". It matches the Rfam family "Archaeal small subunit ribosomal RNA", at positions 80 to 857 of the family's 1478-position model. Lineage: Archaea; Methanobacteriati; Methanobacteriota; Halobacteria; Halobacteriales; Halobacteriaceae. The record is from RNAcentral.
AGCGGAAAGCUCAGUAACACGUGGCCAAACUACCCUGUGGAUGGGAACAAUCUCGGGAAACUGAGGCUAAUUCCCAAUAACGCUCCACCCCUGGAACGGGCGGAGCUGGAAACGCUACGGCGCCACAGGAUGUGGCUGCGGUCGAUUAGGUAGACGGUGGGGUAACGGCCCACCGUGCCAAUAAUCGGUACGGGUUGUGAGAGCAAGAGCCCGGAGACGGAAUCUGAGACAAGAUUCCGGGCCCUACGGGGCGCAGCAGGCGCGAAACCUUUACACUGUACGCAAGUGCGAUAAGGGGACUCCGAGUGUGAAGGCAUAGAGCCUUCACUUUUGUACACCGUAAGGUGGUGUACGAAUAAGGGCUGGGCAAGACCGGUGCCAGCCGCCGCGGUAAUACCGGCAGCCCGAGUGAUGGCCGAUAUUAUUGGGCCUAAAGCGUCCGUAGCUGGCCGGACAAGUCCGUUGGGAAAUCUGUUCGCUUAACGAGCAGGCGUCCAGCGGAAACUGUUCGGCUUGGGACCGGAAGACCUGAGGGGUACGUCCGGGGUAGGAGUGAAAUCCUGUAAUCCUGGACGGACCACCGGUGGCGAAAGCGCCUCAGGAGGACGGAUCCGACAGUGAGGGACGAAAGCUAGGGUCUCGAACCGGAUUAGAUACCCGGGUAGUCCUAGCUGUAAACGAUGCCCGCUAGGUGGUGGCGCAGGCUACGAGCCUGCGCUGUGCCGUAGGGAAGCCGAGAAGCGGGCCGCCUGGGAAGUACGUCUGCAAGGAUGAAACUU